CAAAAUGACCUUUAUUACAUUUUCUGAUGCAUAUUGAUGUCCUUAUGCUGUGUAGAAAAUGUUCCAGAUUCAAUUUAUCAAAUUACAGCUAUCUGAGGAGAUACACCAUAUUAUUUGAAAAUACCACGAGAUCACUGUUAGCAUAACUUUUUGAAUUAAUCAGGGCAAGAUAGAGGUAGCAAUUAAUACACUCCUUCUGUCAAUGUCAAUGGAGUGUGUCAUUGCCUUUCUUUUGAUUCAUUGCAUCAGUAAUAUCAUUUAUGGCUACUAUAAUUGUGUGGUAUACUAAAUAGCUAUAAAAUAGCUAUAGUAGAGUUUAUGACCCUUAUGAUACUGCACUAUAAUGUACAUACCUAGUGUUGGUGAGAAAAGGAUUCAGUUUUUUAAGAAUAACAUUAGUAGCUUUAUACAUCAGUGUACAUACAGUUAUAUAGCUGAGUUGUUCUCCUCAGCUGUUACAUUCAUAAGUCAUAUUGUCUUUAUACCAAACCAUUACUACUUGUAUUGUAUUAUGAUAUUUAAUUUAAUGCAUUCAACAUUUUCAUUAUUUGUACAAAUGGUUCGAGGAGUUUUGUUUGAGUUUUAAUAACAAAAAUUAUGAACCAAUUUGAUUGGCAUGUUGGUAUGAUUUAGAUAGAAUCUUGUGGCUGAAUGUUCUAAGACUAUUUUAAAAGAUAUGCAUUUAAAGAUAUACUGUUAGUAACUGAGUUAAUAAGAUAUAUUCAUUCAUGUAUACUGUUAUAUCUUUAAUAGUCUACAUCUUUUGAUUGGGACAAGAUAAGAAAGAAAGGAAAGAAAGAAAAGAAAGGCUUAAAGUUAGAUCCAAGGAUAUUUAAAAACUGAACCUGAGGAAAGUGUAGAUGAAGUGAAGAAUAAGAGCAAACCAUUAUCUGAGGAAAUGAAAGACUACACAGUUCAGUAUCUGAGGAGGUGAAGGACCUAUGCAGUUCAAUGGAUCAGUUGUUAUCUAUUGUUAACAGUAUAAAGAAUGAAAGACAAGGAGGAGGAGGAGGAGAAGUAAGAGGACCAGAGAACUAGUGUUUGAGAAGGAGGAAGGAGGAGUUGAACUUUAACUUAUAGAUUUUAUUGUGUGGUAUUUAGAGAAUGCUAAACUCUUUAUUUAUUUUCUUUUUUUAGUAUUUUUAGUAUCUAGUUAUAUGCUUCUUAUUACUAAUAGUUUUUAUUUUGAGUGUCCCUUUA
Molecule: long non-coding RNA, 1200 nt
Organism: Amphimedon queenslandica
Lineage: Eukaryota; Metazoa; Porifera; Demospongiae; Haplosclerida; Niphatidae
Exons: 2
Source: RefSeq, a predicted model, not a curated record